GGGGAUGACGUCAAAUCAUCAUGCCCCUUAUGACCUGGGCUACACACGUGCUACAAUGGACGGUACAAAGAGCUGCAAGACCGCGAGGUGGAGCUAAUCUCAUAAAACCGUUCUCAGUUCGGAUUGUAGGCUGCAACUCGCCUACAUGAAGCUGGAAUCGCUAGUAAUCGCGGAUCAGCAUGCCGCGGUGAAUACGUUCCCGGGCCUUGUACAC
Molecule: ribosomal RNA, 214 nt
Filed under: Bacillus thuringiensis serovar finitimus
Lineage: Bacteria; Bacillati; Bacillota; Bacilli; Caryophanales; Bacillaceae
Description: partial 16S ribosomal RNA
Rfam family: Bacterial small subunit ribosomal RNA
Source: RNAcentral